Molecule: ribosomal RNA, 414 nt
Filed under: uncultured bacterium
Lineage: Bacteria
Description: bacterial SSU rRNA
Rfam family: Bacterial small subunit ribosomal RNA
Source: RNAcentral
AGAGUUUGAUCCUGGCUCAGAUUGAACGCUGGCGGAAUGCUUUACACAUGCAAGUCGAACGGCAGCACGGGAGCUUGCUCCUGGUGGCGAGUGGCGAACGGGUGAGUAAUGCGUCGGAACGUACCGAGUAAUGGGGGAUAACGCAGCGAAAGCUGUGCUAAUACCGCAUACGCCCUGAGGGGGAAAGUGGGGGACCGCAAGGCCUCACGUUAUUCGAGCGGCCGACGUCUGAUUAGCUAGUUGGUGGGGUAAUGGCCUACCAAGGCGACGAUCAGUAGCGGGUCUGAGAGGAUGAUCCGCCACACUGGGACUGAGACACGGCCCAGACUCCUACGGGAGGCAGCAGUGGGGAAUUUUGGACAAUGGGGGCAACCCUGAUCCAGCCAUUCCGCGUGAGUGAAGAAGGCCUUCGGG